This is a long non-coding RNA of Gasterosteus aculeatus aculeatus (three-spined stickleback), 1652 nucleotides long. NCBI's taxonomy places the organism in Eukaryota, Metazoa, Chordata, Actinopteri, Perciformes, Gasterosteidae. The record is from Ensembl.
GGACCCGGCACUAAUGAGAGGAUGGCUUAAAAUUACACCCAAAUAAUUUUCAAAUUGACAAACAAAUGAAACCCAUAAGUGUACUUUCUCAUUAAUUUCACCAGAGAAUAAUUCAUUGCUACAAUAUCGCGAGCGGACACGGAGAAAAAUUAGAAAUUGGAAAGGGAAGAAAGAAAUUGGAAAAGGGGCGUUAUCCAUCAUAAAUAUCAAGAAGAUAUGAAAACUCCUUAUUAGAGAGAAGUGUCAUCAGCUGGGCGACUGGGUCACGUGACUCGUCCCUACGCACAUUUAUUUACAUUAUAUUUAUUUACUCUCCCUUUGCUCAGAGGGUUUGCUUCGCCUGCUGUUCCAGUGUGCAGGAACGAGCACCUCAUAAAGACCGUCAUUACAAAACACAUGCGUCUCCCACCUGAGCAGACAGGUCAAAGGUCAACAACAGCCCCCCCCUCCUCACGCCCCUCCCCGCCUCACUGGGACCCUAAUGUCAGCGGUGGAGUCAGGGGUGGAGCCAGCGAUGGAGUCUAGGUGGAGUCUAGGUGGAGUGUAGGUGGAGUCAGCGGUGGUGUCUAGGUGGAGUCAGGGUGGAGUCAGGGUGGAGUCAGGGUGGAGUCAGGGUGGAGUCUGUGCUCCGCGCUGUGUUUUUCCUCGGCGGCCACCUGCUCUGAUUCAACGUGUUCUCACAGCCGUGUUCACACAAGCGCACAACAAAAGCCCCGAUGGAGAUAAAGAGACAAAGAGAAGAGGUUCAGCUAAAGAGCUGUUUGGGUUCUGCGCUGGUCGGUAGACUAGACAGCACCCACAAAACAACACGUCCCUUCAAGGUUCCUCUUGUGUUCUGCUGUAUUUUGGCUCCUGGGGCGACAAGACAAACACGAGCUGUUAAAUAAUCAAUCAUUGCAGCCUCGGCAACCAGAUCCUAACAGGGGCCUUCUGCAGGACAGGACCGCCCCAACGUGGACUCCCUCCCCAACGUGGACUCCCGCCCCAACGUGGACUCCCUCCCCAACCGACGGGACUCUCGACCUGCACCCCCCUCGCCCCCCAGAGCGACGCGGCACGGCGGCGAUGACGCUCUGCCAAAGGAGACUUCACAGUCAGACCAAACAAGCACACAAUCUAGUCAGCCACUUCAACCAAGUCACAGAUAAGCACCGCAUAUCUGUACACACACACACACACACACACACACACACACCCACACACACACACAAGCGCCAACGCCUCCGUCGGUAAAGCCCACAUCCUUCCACCGCGGGGGGGGGGGGGGGGGGGCACGGGUCGUUUUUCCCAGCCGGCGUGUCAGCAGACCACUGCACUGAGAAACCACGCAGCUGUUUGGUGAUUGUUGCCAUGGCAACGGUAAACAAGGGGCGAUGAACAAACACCUCAUGCUGGAGCCGUUUUAAUAUUAACACAGUGGAAUAAUCAGCCGAUUUGCUAGGUGACACUCGGGGGAGGCCCAGUGUAAACAAGUUGUGGGAGGGGACGGGGUGUCGGGGGGGCUUUAGGGAACCGAGGUCGAUGCAGAUGCAGCUCGGGGCUAAAAUAAACAGCCAGGCAGAAGAUAAACACAAAGUCGCUCUUCAGACGUUUCUGAAGACGUUCUAAAGCUGCUGUGUUCGCAGAAACAAAAGACAAGGCCCGGCCCCCCC